AGCAUCAAGACAUCAAGCGCCCAACAAAAAUGACCCGUGAUUAUGACAUGACAUAAAACUACAAAGUGCUCGACGCUCUUUGGCUGAAUUUAAAUGUCUUGCCACCACAACAACUACUAAUAAGGCACUCCACAUCGCUACUCAUACAGGCAUAACCGAACGCUAACCAUAUUGAUACGAUAUAUUUGUAUGUAUGUAUAAUAUAAAUGAAAAUGUUAUUUAUAGUGGUUUUUAAUUGCAAUAUAUAUAUUUGAAUGUAAGAAUACACAGAACUUAUA
Bactrocera tryoni is the source of this 278-nucleotide long non-coding RNA. RefSeq lists it as uncharacterized. Lineage: Eukaryota; Metazoa; Arthropoda; Insecta; Diptera; Tephritidae. The record is from RefSeq and is a predicted model, not a curated record. The transcript has 2 exons.